This is a long non-coding RNA of Echeneis naucrates (live sharksucker), 2237 nucleotides long. NCBI's taxonomy places the organism in Eukaryota, Metazoa, Chordata, Actinopteri, Carangiformes, Echeneidae. The record is from Ensembl.
CUGAAACACCAAAACGCAUCCUCAUCAUGCAUGAGCUUCCUUUCUCAUCGUACUUGGAUGAAAGUGUUUUUGUACAGUUGACCUUAAACACAGUUCAUGGUUUCCCCUUAAGCCAACAGAAACCCUCCUCAACUGUGACGUUGAUAGUGAUAGAGUCGGGUUCAAGGUCAACUGCACAACAAUGCUUUCACCUAAAUACCACAUGGAAGUAAAUUCUUGCACGUGAUGACACUUCAACAUGUGGGAACCUGUCUGUCAAUACACAUAUCUCAGUGCUGACUGUCUCAACUAGUCGUGCAUUACUGUUAGCAUGUAAUACAAAUCUAUCUGUUGCUUUUUGAAUCACUUGCUGUUUAGUUGAACUUGUCUGUUUUACUGUUUCUGUCUGUUUACUGUUUUACAAUGCAAUACAUUUAUCUGACAGCAGGCUUUUACUUCUUAGCCACUUGAUAUGUUUCAGACAUCUAUGAGAUGACACUGCUUCACCCAGGACAGACUCCAGCUGUGAUAAAGCAACAUUAUAAUGCUUGUGUAUGUGCCCUCUUAAUGACUGUAGUUCUGGAAGAGUUCCCACCGCUGCUGCAUUGAUACUCCAGUGGGGGGGCCUGCAGGGGAGAGCAGUGAGCUUUUCUAUCUCGAGCCACACGCCCAUAAAACAAGCCUCCACUCUGCCUAUUCUGAUCCCACAACACCGCCCUGACCCCGAUUAAUGGUCCACAUCAAUUGUCAUUGCAAGUUAAAAGAAAAGUCCCAUUGUGUCAGCGUUCAAUCCAGGUCCAGAAUGGAUGUGCAGCCACCCCUGCCUCCUCUGCCAGUAUCACUGCUCCUUGGCUCAGGUGAUGCACUCUGUCACAUGGUCUCAGGUCUAACCCUCUUAGCUUUCAAUUCUCUUUUAUUCAGUAAGAAUAUCUGGGCUACGUAACCUCUUUUUUUUUUCUGAAUGAGCUUACCGCAAAAAGCCAUCUUUACCGUACAGUCGCUUUCUAUUUGCUGUAAUGGACGGAGGUUGAUGGGAAUAUUGUCAUUGUGUAUAAAUGUCAGGUCUAAAACAGACUAAUCCAAUCUUCAAACUCGCAACUAAGCACUUCCUCUGCCAUGUCCUGCAGUGAAUAGUGUAGACACGAGACAUUAGUGAGCUGUUGUUGACUAAUGUCUUUGUACAGUCAUGACAAAAAGGAGCUGUUGUGAAAAAUGAAUGCAUACUGAACUUGGGGCUGCAUUUCCCUGAAGAUGAGACAGUCCCAAAUAAUGAUCACCUCAUGAUAUAAAAGAUAGUUUGACCUUCCAGGUAUCACACAUAUGUGGGUGUUGUUUCCCCUGAGCCAGGGGAAUAUGAGUCUUCCUGCCAGGAAGAGGAGAGGAAAUGAGUCAUGGAAAAACUAAGAAUAAGAGAACAGUUUCCCCUCACAUUGUAACGUGAUGAUGGCAGUGUUAUCAGCAAAGGAACCUGCCUGUUCGUGGGACAUUUCGAUACGGGACGAGGUGUCUGGCCCGGCCCUGAGGCUGCAUUACACAACCUCCUCUCAACCUGCACUGCAGAACUUUUCACUGAUCUCAACAGACACUCUGACAAAAGUGCUUGACUUUGCACACACACCCCGAAUCGAGAGAUAGGGAGGAGGGAGAGGCGAGGUGGGAGUAGCAGAGUCAUGGGGGGAGAGAAAGAGAAUAAGAGGGAUAUGGAAGCAGGCAGGUGAGGGAGGGGAGAUAGAGGGAGAGAGAGGUGGAAAAAGUUGUGAAAUAGCCAGAGAGGGGCAGGAAGAGGAGUCGGCUUCACUGGGGCUCAGCAGAGGAGGAACGAGAGCAGCUGCUUUUCUUCCUGUCCAUCUGUCUAAGACCACAUCUGUCCAUCUUUCUGCACGUCUCUCACCCCCUCCCCCUCCUCUCUCCUCUCCAUUCUGAUUGUCUCUCAUCCCGGCCAGCGCUGCAAUGUGGCUGUCUCUGCAGUGAAAGUGCUGGCUGGCAGAUUCUCCUUGAGUGAACCCUGACUGUGCGCAGUGAGCGCUCCACCGUUGUCCUGUCCACACUGACUCAGCUGUGCCUGCCCGCCUCCGAGUGAGUACCGGCUGCACAAGCAGGUAGGCACGACAAAACUUGAACUGUAGCCUUAGCUUCUUUACAUUCAGUGACUUGAUCAGAUGAUGGCAGGAAACUGCACACUUUUUACUGUACUACUUGUCUUUUUGUACAGACUCCAUGUGCUGUUUUAAGAUUUUGAUUGGUUUGCUUUUUCCCUC